RNAcentral lists this transfer RNA (75 nucleotides) under Culex quinquefasciatus (southern house mosquito). RNAcentral describes it as "tRNA-Thr". Lineage: Eukaryota; Metazoa; Arthropoda; Insecta; Diptera; Culicidae. The record is from RNAcentral.
GAGCUACCGUGGCCGUGAGGUUACGGUUUUCGCAUUGUAAGCGAAAGGUGAUGGGUUCGAUUUCAGUCUGGCUCG